UUGAUACUAUCUUUGUCACUAGUAUCUUUAAAACCCGCUGCUCGAUCUCUUUCUCUUUCCUUUCUUAAUUCAAGAACUUCAGCUUUUAAUGCUUCCAAAGUUUGCUGCAGUUCUUAUUGCUAGGAGUCUUUUGUUUUUUAAUAUUCAAGGAUUUUUGAGUGAUCCCAAAUCCCUUGCCCCUCACCCGACCAGAAUACUCGGGAACAUCUAAUGCUCGACUCAGUAUGCUCCUGCAAUCAGUGUCUUCAUAUGGAACUAUAGAUUGAGAUAGAGUCUCCUGAAA
This 283-nucleotide long non-coding RNA is filed under the name Lathyrus oleraceus (garden pea). Its description in RNAcentral is "Pisum sativum (pea) long non-coding RNA (PSAT_LNC038350)". Lineage: Eukaryota; Viridiplantae; Streptophyta; Magnoliopsida; Fabales; Fabaceae. The record is from RNAcentral.